UACAGAGGGGGCAAGCGUUGUUCGGAAUUACUGGGCGUAAAGGGCGCGUAGGCGGCCUGUUAAGUCGAACGUGAAAUCCCCGGGCUCAACCCGGGAACUGCGUCCGAUACUGGCAGGCUCGAAUCCGGGAGAGGGAUGCGGAAUUCCAGGUGUAGCGGUGAAAUGCGUAGAUAUCGUAAGGAAGACCAGUGGCGAAGGCGGGUCUCUGGACAGUUCCUGACGCUGAGGCACGAAGGUCAGGGGAGCAAACGGG
RNAcentral lists this ribosomal RNA (253 nucleotides) under uncultured bacterium. RNAcentral's name for it is "partial 16S ribosomal RNA". It matches the Rfam family "Bacterial small subunit ribosomal RNA", at positions 524 to 776 of the family's 1533-position model. The record is from RNAcentral.